CUGGAAACGGUAGCUAAUACCGCAUAACGUCGCAAGACCAAAGAGGGGGACCUUCGGGCCUCUUGCCAUCGGAUGUGCCCAGAUGGGAUUAGCUAGUAGGUGGGGUAAAGGCUCACCUAGGCGACGAUCCCUAGCUGGUCUGAGAGGAUGACCAGCCACACUGGAACUGAGACACGGUCCAGACUCCUACGGGAGGCAGCAGUGGGGAAUAUUGCACAAUGGGCGCAAGCCUGAUGCAGCCAUGCCGCGUGUAUGAAGAAGGCCUUCGGGUUGUAAAGUACUUUCAGCGGGGAGGAAGGGAGUAAAGUUAAUACCUUUGCUCAUUGACGUUACCCGCAGAAGAAGCACCGGCUAACUCCGUGCCAGCAGCCGCGGUAAUACGGAGGGUGCAAGCGUUAAUCGGAAUUACUGGGCGUAAAGCGCACGCAGGCGGUUUGUUAAGUCAGAUGUGAA
RNAcentral lists this ribosomal RNA (453 nucleotides) under Escherichia coli. Its description in RNAcentral is "bacterial SSU rRNA". It matches the Rfam family "Bacterial small subunit ribosomal RNA", at positions 150 to 598 of the family's 1533-position model. Lineage: Bacteria; Pseudomonadati; Pseudomonadota; Gammaproteobacteria; Enterobacterales; Enterobacteriaceae. The record is from RNAcentral.